This 578-nucleotide ribosomal RNA is filed under the name Astyanacinus sp. DC-2004. RNAcentral's name for it is "partial 16S large subunit ribosomal RNA". It matches the Rfam family "Bacterial large subunit ribosomal RNA", at positions 1809 to 2609 of the family's 2925-position model. The record is from RNAcentral. Lineage: Eukaryota; Metazoa; Chordata; Actinopteri; Characiformes; Acestrorhamphidae.
AAAAACAUCGCCUCCUGCUAAUAUCAAUGUAUAAGAGGUCCUGCCUGCCCAGUGACUAAGUUAAACGGCCGCGGUAUUUUGACCGUGCAAAGGUAGCGCAAUCACUUGUCUUUUAAAUGAAGACCUGUAUGAAUGGUGAAACGAGGGCUUAACUGUCUCCCUUUUUUGAUCAGUGAAAUUGAUCUACCCGUGCAGAAGCGGGUAUAAAUAUACAAGACGAGAAGACCCUAUGGAGCUUAAGACAAAAAUCAACUGCCAUCCUUAUAGGAAAAACAAAGCAGAAACUGAUUUACCGUCUUCGGUUGGGGCGACCACGGGGGAUAAAUUAUCCCCCAUGUGAAGUGGGGAAUACCCUAAAACCACGAGGCACACCUCUAAGUCACAGAACAUCUGACCUUAAGAUCCGACACCUAGUCGAUCAACGGACCAAGUUACCCUAGGGAUAACAGCGCAAUCCCCUCCAAGAGCUCAUAUCGACAAGGGGGUUUACGACCUCGAUGUUGGAUCAGGACAUCCUAAUGGUGUAGCCGCUAUUAAGGGUUCGUUUGUUCAACGAUUAAAGUCCUACGUGAUCUGAG